This is a non-coding RNA of Lupinus albus (white lupine), 396 nucleotides long. NCBI's taxonomy places the organism in Eukaryota, Viridiplantae, Streptophyta, Magnoliopsida, Fabales, Fabaceae. The record is from the annotation of a GenBank genome assembly.
UCCCAAUUACAUAGCAAUAACAAAACCCUAAUCGCAGCAAUAACAAAACCCUAGACAAUGCAUCUCCCUUAUAUAUACCGCUACACUUCACAGCCUCCAAAUCAAGCUCACACCAACCAUGAUUCUCCCUCAUCCCUCCAAGAAAAUCAUCAAAAAUAGGAUCAAUUUUAGGUUUCAGUGUCCUUAUAGUGAUUGCAAGAUCUCUGUUAAGAUUUAAGACUUGUUGUCUAUGUUGCUGGACAUUUCGUUUAACGGGCAUAUAAAGAUUUUUAUAGGACUUGCGACACAGAUUGCUUUUGUUAUAUAUAAGCUUUCUGUUACUAUUAUCCUGUUUACAUUUUCUGCAUAACUCAAGUUAACUUUGUUUGAUUUUUUUCUAUUAACAAUCUUUUUCUU